AGGUGUUUGCAGGCCCUUAAUAAAAUUAAGUAUGAAUUCUAUCAUUUACAAAGCAAAUUCAAGACUGUUAUUCAGUUGGAGAAAAGAAUCCUUGCUUAUGAUACCAAACAACAGUGACGACUACUAGUCUCCCUCUGAAUCCUUUUCCAGUUGUGACAACAAUAGUUUGUAUAUAUAUUAUUUCUUCUUGUUUAUAUUGAAUGAAUUCUUUAUUUUUUAAGAGAAAUAUCUCUUUUUCUAGGAACCAAACUGCGUAUUCCAUUUUGGGUUAAAAAACAAACCUUUUUUUUGGUAAAGAAUCUUUACAACAUGGAGUAUUAUUCGGGUUAGAAACUAUUGUCAAAUUUCUUGCAA
Non-coding RNA from Nelumbo nucifera (sacred lotus), 354 nucleotides. The record is from RefSeq and is a predicted model, not a curated record. Lineage: Eukaryota; Viridiplantae; Streptophyta; Magnoliopsida; Proteales; Nelumbonaceae.